This 1399-nucleotide ribosomal RNA is filed under the name Limosilactobacillus reuteri. RNAcentral's name for it is "bacterial SSU rRNA". It matches the Rfam family "Bacterial small subunit ribosomal RNA", at positions 63 to 1436 of the family's 1533-position model. Lineage: Bacteria; Bacillati; Bacillota; Bacilli; Lactobacillales; Lactobacillaceae. The record is from RNAcentral.
UGAUUGAUGGUGCUUGCACCUGAUUGACGAUGGAUCACCAGCUGAGUGGCGGACGGGUGAGUAACACGUAGGUAACCUGCCCCGGAGCGGGGGAUAACAUUUGGAAACAGAUGCUAAUACCGCAUAACAACAAAAGCCACAUGGCUUUUGUUUGAAAGAUGGCUUUGGCUAUCACUCUGGGAUGGACCUGCGGUGCAUUAGCUAGUUGGUAAGGUAACGGCUUACCAAGGCGAUGAUGCAUAGCCGAGUUGAGAGACUGAUCGGCCACAAUGGAACUGAGACACGGUCCAUACUCCUACGGGAGGCAGCAGUAGGGAAUCUUCCACAAUGGGCGCAAGCCUGAUGGAGCAACACCGCGUGAGUGAAGAAGGGUUUCGGCUCGUAAAGCUCUGUUGUUGGAGAAGAAUGUGCGUGAGAGUAACUGUUCACGCAGUGACGGUAUCCAACCAGAAAGUCACGGCUAACUACGUGCCAGCAGCCGCGGUAAUACGUAGGUGGCAAGCGUUAUCCGGAUUUAUUGGGCGUAAAGCGAGCGCAGGCGGUUGCUUAGGUCUGAUGUGAAAGCCUUCGGCUUAACCGAAGAAGUGCAUCGGAAACCGGGCGACUUGAGUGCAGAAGAGGACAGUGGAACUCCAUGUGUAGCGGUGGAAUGCGUAGAUAUAUGGAAGAACACCAGUGGCGAAGGCGGCUGUCUGGUCUGCAACUGACGCUGAGGCUCGAAAGCAUGGGUAGCGAACAGGAUUAGAUACCCUGGUAGUCCAUGCCGUAAACGAUGAGUGCUAGGUGUUGGAGGGUUUCCGCCCUUCAGUGCCGGAGCUAACGCAUUAAGCACUCCGCCUGGGGAGUACGACCGCAAGGUUGAAACUCAAAGGAAUUGACGGGGGCCCGCACAAGCGGUGGAGCAUGUGGUUUAAUUCGAAGCUACGCGAAGAACCUUACCAGGUCUUGACAUCUUGCGCUAACCUUAGAGAUAAGGCGUUCCCUUCGGGGACGCAAUGACAGGUGGUGCAUGGUCGUCGUCAGCUCGUGUCGUGAGAUGUUGGGUUAAGUCCCGCAACGAGCGCAACCCUUGUUACUAGUUGCCAGCAUUAAGUUGGGCACUCUAGUGAGACUGCCGGUGACAAACCGGAGGAAGGUGGGGACGACGUCAGAUCAUCAUGCCCCUUAUGACCUGGGCUACACACGUGCUACAAUGGACGGUACAACGAGUCGCAAGCUCGCGAGAGUAAGCUAAUCUCUUAAAGCCGUUCUCAGUUCGGACUGUAGGCUGCAACUCGCCUACACGAAGUCGGAAUCGCUAGUAAUCGCGGAUCAGCAUGCCGCGGUGAAUACGUUCCCGGGCCUUGUACACACCGCCCGUCACACCAUGGGAGUUUGUAACGCCCAAAGUCGGUGGCCU